CCUACGGGGAGCUGCAGUGGGGAAUAUUGGACAAUGGGCGAAAGCCUGAUCCAGCCAUGCCGCGUGUGUGAAGAAGGCCUUCGGGUUGUAAAGCACUUUCAGUGGGGAAGAAAGCCUUGGGGCUAAUACCCUCGAGGAAGGACAUCACCCACAGAAGAAGCACCGGCUAACUCCGUGCCAGCAGCCGCGGUAAUACGGAGGGUGCGAGCGUUAAUCGGAAUUACUGGGCGUAAAGCGCGCGUAGGCGGUCUGAUAAGCCGGUUGUGAAAGCCCCGGGCUCAACCUGGGAACGGCAUCCGGAACUGUCAGGCUAGAGUGCAGGAGAGGAAGGUAGAAUUCCCGGUGUAGCGGUGAAAUGCGUAGAGAGCGGGAGGAAUACCAGUGGCGAAGGCGGCCUUCUGGACUGACACUGACGCUGAGGUGCGAAAGCGUGGGUAGCAAACAGGAUUAGAUACCCGAGUAGUC
RNAcentral lists this ribosomal RNA (465 nucleotides) under Vreelandella stevensii. Its description in RNAcentral is "partial 16S ribosomal RNA". It matches the Rfam family "Bacterial small subunit ribosomal RNA", at positions 338 to 795 of the family's 1533-position model. The record is from RNAcentral. Lineage: Bacteria; Pseudomonadati; Pseudomonadota; Gammaproteobacteria; Oceanospirillales; Halomonadaceae.